This 497-nucleotide ribosomal RNA is filed under the name uncultured bacterium. RNAcentral's name for it is "partial 16S ribosomal RNA". It matches the Rfam family "Bacterial small subunit ribosomal RNA", at positions 28 to 507 of the family's 1533-position model. The record is from RNAcentral.
GAUGAACGCUGGCGGCGUGCCUAAUACAUGCAAGUCGAGCGAACAGACGAGGAGCUUGCUCCUCUGACGUUAGCGGCGGACGGGUGAGUAACACGUGGAUAACCUACCUAUAAGUCUGGGAUCACUUCGGGAAACCGGAGCUAAUACCGGAUAAUAUAUUGAACCGCAUGGUUCAAUAGUGAAAGACGGUGUUGCUGUCACUUAUAGAUGGAUCCGCGCCGCAUUAGCUAGUUGGUAAGGUAACGGCUUACCAAGGCGACGAUGCGUAGCCGACCUGAGAGAGUGGUCGGCCACCCUGGAGCUGAGACACGGUCCAGACUCCUACGGGAGGCAGCAGUAGGGAAUCUUCCGCAAUGGGCGAAAGCCUGACGGAGCAACGCCGCGUGAGUGAUGAAGGUCUUCGGAUCGUAAAACUCUGUUAUUAGGGAAGAACAAAUGUGUAAUUAACUAUGCACUUCGUGACGGUACCGAGUCAGAAAGCAACGGCUAACUACGUG